This 1188-nucleotide ribosomal RNA is filed under the name uncultured bacterium. RNAcentral's name for it is "bacterial SSU rRNA". It matches the Rfam family "Bacterial small subunit ribosomal RNA", at positions 101 to 1310 of the family's 1533-position model. The record is from RNAcentral.
AACGGGUGAGGAUCACGUGAGAAACUGCCUUUCAUUUGGGAUAACACCGGGAAACCGGUGCUAAUACUGGAUACUCCGUCUUGGCGGCAUCGCCGAGCCGGGAAAGAUUUUCGAUGAAAGAUGGUCUCGCGGCCUAUCAGCUAGUUGGUGAGGUAACGGCUCACCAAGGCAACGACGGGUAGCCGGCCUGAGAGGGCGACCGGCCACACUGGGACUGAGACACGGCCCAGACUCCUACGGGAGGCAGCAGUAGGGAAUAUUGCGCAAUGGAGGAAACUCUGACGCAGCGACGCCGCGUGAGGGAUGAAGGCCUUCGGGUUGUAAACCUCUUUCAGCAGGGAAUAAGCGAAAGUGAAGGUACCUGCAGAAGAAGCACCGGCUAACUAUGUGCCAGCAGCCGCGGUAAUACAUAGGGUGCAAGCGUUGUCCGGAAUUAUUGGGCGUAAAGAGCUCGUAGGUGGUCGAUCACGUCGGAUGUGAAAAUCUGAGGCUUAACCUCAGACCUGCAUUCGAUACGGGUUGACUGGAGUGUGGUAGGGGAGACUGGAAUUCCUGGUGUAGCGGUGGAAUGCGCAGAUAUCAGGAGGAACACCGAUGGCGAAGGCAGGUCUCUGGGCCAUUACUGACACUGAGGAGCGAAAGCGUGGGGAGCGAACAGGAUUAGAUACCCUGGUAGUCCACGCCGUAAACGGUGGGCGCUAGUUGUGGGAACCUUCCACGGUUUCUGCGACGCAGCUAACGCAUUAAGCGCCCCGCCUGGGGAGUACGGUCGCAAGACUAAAACUCAAAGAAAUUGACGGGGCCCCGCACAAGCAGCGGAGCAUGCGGCUCAAUUCGAUGCAACGCGAAGAACCUUACCAAGGCUUGACAUAUAGCGAAAAGUGGCAGAGAUGUCAUGUCCGCAAGGGCGCUAUACAGGUGGUGCAUGGUUGUCGUCAGCUCGUGUCGUGAGAUGUUGGGUUAAGUCCCGCAACGAGCGCAACCCUCGUUCUGUGUUACCAGCAUUUAGUUGGGGACUCACAGGAGACUGCCGGGGUUAACUCGGAGGAAGGUGGGGAUGACGUCAAAUCCUCAUGCCCCUUAUGUCUUGGGCUGCACGCAUGCUACAAUGGCCGGUACAGAGGGCUGCGAAACCGUAAGGUGGAGCGAAUCCCAAAAGCCGGUCUCAGUUCAGAUUGAGGUCUACAC